UUUUGAGAGUUUGAUCCUGGCUCAGAACGAACGCUGGCGGCGCGCCUAAUACAUGCAAGUCGAGCGAGAAGACGUAGCAAUACGUUUGUAAAGCGGCGAACGGGUGAGGAAUACAUGGGUAACCUACCCUCGAGUGGGGAAUAACUAGCCGAAAGGUUAGCUAAUACCGCAUACGACUCCUGGUCUGCGGAUCGGGAGGGAAAGCGAUACCGUGGGUAUCGCGCUCUUGGAUGGGCUCAUGUCCUAUCAGCUUGUUGGUGAGGUAAUGGCUCACCAAGGCUUCGACGGGUAGCUGGUCUGAGAGGACGAUCAGCCACACUGGCACUGCGACACGGGCCAGACUCCUACGGGAGGCAGCAGUAAGGAAUAUUGCGCAAUGGGC
RNAcentral lists this ribosomal RNA (382 nucleotides) under Nitrospira sp. UW-LDO-01. RNAcentral's name for it is "bacterial SSU rRNA". It matches the Rfam family "Bacterial small subunit ribosomal RNA", at positions 1 to 376 of the family's 1533-position model. Lineage: Bacteria; Pseudomonadati; Nitrospirota; Nitrospiria; Nitrospirales; Nitrospiraceae. The record is from RNAcentral.